This 253-nucleotide ribosomal RNA is filed under the name uncultured bacterium. RNAcentral's name for it is "partial 16S ribosomal RNA". It matches the Rfam family "Bacterial small subunit ribosomal RNA", at positions 524 to 776 of the family's 1533-position model. The record is from RNAcentral.
GACGUAGGGCGCGAGCGUUGUCCGGAUUUAUUGGGCGUAAAGGGCUCGUAGGCGGUUUGUCGCGUCGGGAGUGAAAUCCACUGGCUUAACUGGUGGCUUGCUUUCGAUACGGGCAGACUAGAGGCAUGCAGGGGAGAACGGAAUUCCUGGUGUAGCGGUGAAAUGCGCAGAUAUCAGGAGGAACACCGGUGGCGAAGGCGGUUCUCUGGGCAUGUCCUGACGCUGAGGAGCGAAAGUGUGGGGAGCGAACAGG